GACCUGAGCUACAGGCAAGACUACCCACUGAACUUAAGC
RNAcentral lists this ribosomal RNA (39 nucleotides) under Stauridium privum. RNAcentral describes it as "partial 28S ribosomal RNA". Lineage: Eukaryota; Viridiplantae; Chlorophyta; Chlorophyceae; Sphaeropleales; Hydrodictyaceae. The record is from RNAcentral.